RNAcentral lists this ribosomal RNA (465 nucleotides) under uncultured bacterium. RNAcentral describes it as "partial 16S ribosomal RNA". It matches the Rfam family "Bacterial small subunit ribosomal RNA", at positions 28 to 507 of the family's 1533-position model. The record is from RNAcentral.
GACGAACGCUGGCGGCGUGCUUAACACAUGCAAGUCGAACGGAAAGGCCCUGCUUGCAGGGUACUCGAGUGGCGAACGGGUGAGUAACACGUGGGUGAUCUGCCCUGCACUUCGGGAUAAGCCUGGGAAACUGGGUCUAAUACCGGAUAGGAGCCAUUUUUAGUGUGAUGGUUGGAAAGUUUUUUCGGUGUAGGAUGAGCUCGCGGCCUAUCAGCUUGUUGGUGGGGUAAUGGCCUACCAAGGCGGCGACGGGUAGCCGGCCUGAGAGUGUGGACGGCCACAUUGGGACUGAGAGACGGCCCAGACGCCUACGGGAGGCAGCAGUGGGGAAGAUUGCACAAUGGGCGCAAGCCUGAUGCAGCGACGCCGCGGGGGGGAUGACGGCCUUCGGGUUGUAAACGCCUUUCGCUAGGGACGAAGCUUUUUGUGACGGUACCUAGAGAAGAAGCACCGGCUAACUACGUG